CUACGACCAUAUCACGUUGAAAACACCGGUUCUCGUCCGAUCACCGGAGUUAAGCAACGUCGAGCCAGUUAGUACUUGGAUGGGUGACCGCCUGGGAAUACCGGGUGUUGUAG
This 113-nucleotide ribosomal RNA is filed under the name Mytilus edulis (blue mussel). The record is from RNAcentral. Lineage: Eukaryota; Metazoa; Mollusca; Bivalvia; Mytilida; Mytilidae.